RNAcentral lists this ribosomal RNA (253 nucleotides) under uncultured bacterium. Its description in RNAcentral is "partial 16S ribosomal RNA". It matches the Rfam family "Bacterial small subunit ribosomal RNA", at positions 524 to 776 of the family's 1533-position model. The record is from RNAcentral.
UACGAAGGGUGCAAGCGUUACUCGGAAUUACUGGGCGUAAAGCGUGCGUAGGUGGUUCGUUAAGUCUGAUGUGAAAGCUCUAGGCUCAACCUGGGAAUGGCAUUGGAAACUGGUGAUCUAGAGUGCGGUAGAGGGCAGUGGAAUUCCCGGUGUAGCAGUGAAAUGCGUAGAGAUCGGGAGGAACAUCUGUGGCGAAGGCGACUGCCUGGACCAGCACUGACACUGAGGCACGAAAGCGUGGGGAGCAAACAGG